Molecule: long non-coding RNA, 1212 nt
Organism: Xyrauchen texanus (razorback sucker)
Lineage: Eukaryota; Metazoa; Chordata; Actinopteri; Cypriniformes; Catostomidae
Exons: 3
Source: RefSeq, a predicted model, not a curated record
GUCCCUGUAAUAAGUGCUCUGUAUAAUACAUUGGUAAUCAGAAGGUUGCUGGUUUGAUCCCCACAGUCACCACCAUUGUGUCCUUGAGUAAGACACUUAACUCCAGGUUGCUCUGGGGGGAUUGUCCCUGUAAUAAGUGCUCUGUAUAAUACAUUGGUAAUCAGAAGGUUGCUGGUUUGAUCCUCACAGUCACCACCAUUGUGUCCUUGAGUAAGACACUUAACUCCAGGUUGCUCCGGGGGGAUUGUCCCUGUAAUAAGUGCUCUGUAUAAUACAUUGGUAAUCAGAAGGUUGCUGGUUUGAUCCUCACAGUCACCACCAUUGUGUCCUUGAGUAAGACACUUAACUCCAGGUUGCUCCGGGGGGAUUGUCCCUGUAAUAAGUGCUCUGUAUAAUACAUUGGUACUCAGGAGGUUGCUGGUUCGAUCCCCACAGUCACCACCAUUGUGUCCUUGAGUAAGACACUUAACUCCAGGUUGCUCUGGGGGGAUUGUCCCUGUAAUAAGUGCUCUGUAUAAUACAUUGGUACUCAGAAGGUUGCUGGUUUGAUCCCCACAGUCACCACCAUUGUGUCCUUGAGUAAGACACUUAACUCCAGGUUGCUCCGGGGGGAUUGUCCCUGUAAUAAUCGCACUGUAUAAUACAUUGGUACUCAGAAGGUUGCUGGUUUGAUCCCCACAGUCACCCCAUUGUGUCCUUGAGUAAGACACUUAACUCCAGGUUGCUCUGGGGGGAUUGUCCCUGUAAUAAGUGCUCUGUAUAAUACAUUGGUAAUCAGAAGGUUGCUGGUUUGAUCCCCACAGUCACCACCAUUGUGUCCUUGAGUAAGACACUUAACUCCAGGUUGCUCCGGGGGGAUUGUCCCUGUAAUAAGUGCUCUGUAUAAUACAUUGGUACUCAGAAGGUUGCUGGUUUGAUCCCCACAGUCACCACCAUUGUGUCCUUGAGUAAGACACUUAACUCCAGGUUGCUCCGGGGGGAUUGUCCCUGUAAUAAUCGCACUGUAUAAUACAUUGGUACUCAGAAGGUUGCUGGUUUGAUCCCCACAGUCACCCCAUUGUGUCCUUGAGUAAGACACUUAACUCCAGGUUGCUCCGGGGGGAUUGUCCCUGUAAUAAGUGCUCUGUAUAAUACAUUGGUAAUCAGAAGGUUGCUGGUUUGAUCCUCACAGUCACCACCAUUGUGUCCUUGAGUAAGACACUUAACUCCAGG